This 257-nucleotide ribosomal RNA is filed under the name uncultured bacterium. Its description in RNAcentral is "partial small subunit ribosomal RNA". It matches the Rfam family "Bacterial small subunit ribosomal RNA", at positions 26 to 286 of the family's 1533-position model. The record is from RNAcentral.
AGGACGAACGCUGGCGGCGUGCUUAACACAUGCAAGUCGAACGGAAAGGCCCUUUCGGGGGUACUCGAGUGGCGAACGGGUGAGUAACACGUGGGUGAUCUGCCCUGCACUUCGGGAUAAGCUUGGGAAACUGGGUCUAAUACCGGAUAGGACUACGAAUCGCAUGGUUUGUGGUGGAAAGCUUUUGCGGUGUGGGAUGGGCCCGCGGCCUAUCAGCUUGUUGGUGGGUGAUGGCCUACCAAGGCGACGACGGGUAG